UUACAAGACUUGACAAAAGUCCGAGGAAGGAUACAAGAAUCUGCCUCGUUAAAAAUCUUAUCAAGAAAAUCAAGUAAGAUAAAACUUUAUGACGCAAAAAGAGUGUAGUUAAUACAAGGCAAAGAUUAUUAAUGAAACCUGAAAGAAGUAUUUUUACGUGUUUUCAUAAAGCAGUUCCUAGUACAACGAGGUAAACUAUCCAUCCAAAUCAAACACUCAUAAAAAUAAAAAUAAAGGAAUACGCCCAUUCACAAUUAAUAACGACAAGGUCAGCUUGCAUGAGAAAUAAUAAAAGGGGACAACAACGAAGGACAAUGGUAAUGUAGUUCUUUUUUGUCUCUGGAUUAUCUUGGGUUUUGAGUGAUGUCUUUAUUCCUCGAAUAGUUUUAGUGUGCAAUAUGUCCCGAUAGUGUAGGAUUAAUUCUCACUUGCAUUAACAUUUUUUUCAUGCAUAAACUCUUUGUUAAAAUCCUUUUCAAAUGUCUUUUUGAAAGAAAAAAAAACUCGUUUUGCUAUAGUAUUGGGUCUUAUGAGCAUUUUCAAGUAUUUAAAAACAAUUUUUGAAAACAUGAAUCAAAUUCAAAACUGACAAGUGACUCUCUGAAUCAAUUCAUGUAAGUCGUAGAGCUUUUAUUUGUUUUUGAAUCAAUUUUAAUCGAUUUAAAAGUCGUAACUGACUUUCUCAAUCAAUUCACUUAAGUCAUAGAGUUUCUGGUCAAUUUUGAAUUCAUUCAAAACAAGAUAGAAGGAUAUAUAUAUAUAUAUAUAUAUAUAUGUGUGUGUGUGUGUGUGUGUGUGUGUGUGUGUGUGUGUGUGUGUGUGUGUGUGUGUGUGUAAUGCGCUUAACCUAAAAUCUAAUGCACCUGAGAACUAAAAGAAAGAAAUAACGUCGGCACUUUACGAGCAGUAGUGCAACCAUCGUGGAUCUUCUAUUGCUACUGAAAUUCCUUAUAAAUUUUGCAUCAUACAAGAACAUCAAAUCAGGUAUGGGGUGAGAGAGAAGAGUUCGAGUACAUGAGUGUAAAAUAAUUAUGAUGAACGGGAAAAACUUAUUUUCCAAAGUUCAUUCGGGCUCGCUGUGACGGUUGUGGGCCUUUGAGAGAAUAAUUAAUUGAUGUGCAAAUUUAGAUGUGUGAGGUUAAAAGAGAAUUAGAAACAUUAUUAAGGCGUUGCUUGAUUUAAAUUAUGUGAAUUAUUGGUAUUUGAAGUCAUGGAUAAACUUUGUGUGUGCUCAUGCUUGAUUUGCUGCAAUUAUUUAGAUUGAUUAAUUAUUCAAUGAUUGAUAUAAAUAUGAUGUAUGUAGAAUCAUAUGACUACUAGCUAGAAUGUUGACGCAUAGGUCAUAUUUAAAAUAAAUACUAAGAAAAAUAUAAAAACUCAUAUAAUAAGUCUUUACUACAUUAAUAUCGGUUAGAUGGUCAUAAGAGAGCAAGGCUUCUACUGCACGAUCAGUCAUGGUUGAAUCAAAUGUCAAGUAUGUAAUUAAUAACUCAUCAAAGUAGUAAUUAAGAAUGUUUCUAUUCAAAAUAAACUAACCACAAAAGAUUAUAGUAAACCACAAAACAUUUAUGAAAAAACAUUGUAAUUUCAACAAAUUACAGUAACACCAAAUAUCUACAAAACAUUAAAGCC
Molecule: long non-coding RNA, 1632 nt
Filed under: Medicago truncatula (barrel medic)
Lineage: Eukaryota; Viridiplantae; Streptophyta; Magnoliopsida; Fabales; Fabaceae
Description: lncRNA gene37056
Source: RNAcentral